Molecule: long non-coding RNA, 3082 nt
Organism: Bos taurus (domestic cattle)
Lineage: Eukaryota; Metazoa; Chordata; Mammalia; Artiodactyla; Bovidae
Source: Ensembl
GUCAACACCGAAAAUCUAAGACUGUAUCUUUAUGUUCUGAAGGAUGGGAUGGGCGAGGGUGGGGCGAGGUGAAGCCAGGAAGAAAGAGACAGACACGUACAUUUUUGAGAAACUGUUUUUUUUAAGAAAGCACUCCUCCAUUAGCUCCCUAUACUUCUGCACUAUGACACUUCUUUUAAAGGGUAACACACAUUCUUGUUUUAAUUUUCAAAGUGUUAAAUAUUUCACAUGCUAGGAAUGUAGAGAGUGAUAGAAUCCACGUAACCAUCAUUUCAAGUUAACAAUCUCUGGUGACAUUUGCAGCAUAUAGAUUUUUCAGAAACAAAGCAUGCCCGCCAGUGUGGGCCCCCAGCCUCUCUUCAAGCACACAGUGGGCCUGCAGCCUAGGGGAGAGGCCCCAUAGCGACGCUGCCACCCCCACCUGUAAACAGCAGGUAUAUUGCUGGUUUGUUUUUCUUUUUGUCAAUUGUGGCAGGAGCCGCAAGCUGUCGGUAUCCUUUUCUGAAAGUAUUAUUAUUUUCCCCAGCUCAACCUUAUACCCCCAGGACUGGCUCCAGCGAGUGCAAGCAGAGUCUGGGGUGGUUCCCGUCAUCCCUGGGGAACACUCUGUUCCAGGGGACGUGCCCUGGGCUGGGCUCUGCAGCCAGGCCUCCUCUGACUGCCAUUUAGGACGCUUCCAGCCCUGCACUUUGCAGACAAUGCUGCAAGGGCAGUGCCAGGGCUCAGUGCCCCCAGCCUGGCAUUUUCUCAGCGGCGGCGGACAAUGAGGCAGGGAUCUGGGGGUCAGCGGGGUGGGCAGCUCCUGCUUUUUCAGAUAUGGACAAAUGUCUCCCGGAUUCCUCUGUAGCAGUUUCAACGAGCACAGCAGGGAGAGCGCGCCCGGUCUCCGCACACCCUGGGCCUUGUUUGGGGUCACACCGUGGCAUCUGUCACACGGUAAGGUGUCCCCGUCAAGAACGAACGUGGGCCUCUGUCCUCUGUGAGGAGACUCCACCGGCCUCCUUGGCCCAUCUCUCCGGCGGCUGGCUUCACCUGCUGACCUUGGGCGCUGUUCCUGGUUCUGUAGGGCAGUCUUUGCCAUUUACGGUCACUGCAAACCUUUCUCCCCAGUAUUAACAACAACGACAACAAAAAAAGGCUUUCCUUACCCGCGGCUCUCCCACCCAGCUGCGUCAGUGUGCGCCUGACCACGCGCGGCGGAAUCGCGGUCUGGACGAGCCCUUUUGAUGAAGUCAGCAGGCGGCUAUGAAACGGGACCCGGGACAAACGCCCUCUAUAGCCUCUCUCGUCUAAUAAAAGUAAUGGGCGAAACACAGUUCCUUUCCUCCGCUGGUUUUCUUGCCAGCGAGGAUCCUACCCGCUCUGGCCGGAUCCGAGCGACGCUCCGGGUCUCUGCAGCCUCUGGGCGCGCUCACACCCGCGUGCACGUGCCGAGCUGCGCUCCGGAGUGGAAAACCGGGAAAGCAAAGCGAGUAAUGGAGAGGCUGAGGACGGUCUGGGCGUCGGGGGGCGGGGGGAGGGCGGGGAGGGAUGGGUAUGUAUGACCUAAGUUCUUCCAAAGGCUGUCUCGCAGAAACAUUGAAAAGAAAAGAAAAGGAAAAAAAAAAAAAAACCGGACACCUUUCAUCUGUUUCCACUUGCCUAGAGCCGCUCUCGCGGCGCGCUGACCUCCCCGGGCAGCGCGACUGUGCGCGCGCACGUGUGUGCAGGUCUGGGCGCCAGGCCGCGCGGCCGUGAACGCGGAGGGCAGAGCGCUCGCUCACACUGUCCUUCCAAACGAUCGCCGACCGCUGAACGAAGGCGCUCGGGUCUUGGCGGCUCCGGAAGAGGGUCUCGGGUCACUGGGAUCCUUCAUCCCGUCCGCGGCGCGCGCACCGCCGCCCGCGCACCGCCACCCUUCCGCUCACCCCCGCUCGGCGCUCCCAGCUGGGGACGCGGACACCGGCGGGGACCUGAGCCCGGGGACGCGCGCACGGCUCGCCCAAAGGGGCUGCGGGUCGGGGUUCGCGGGGGGAAGGGAAGAACCGGAGCGAUGGAAGCACGGGAUGCGGAGAAGAGGCGAAGGAUGCUGAUUCCUGGGCCGCGGCGCGGGAGAAACUUCAGGAAGCGGGUCGGAGGCGGGGCGUUCGCGGAGAGGAUGGGCCGUGUGCGGCCGCUGAACGAAACCAGGAGGGACACGUUAGCGGCCAGCACAGUUCUAGUCCUCCGACCUCAGGGGCUGGGCCGUGGUGCUAGAACCGGGUCUCAGGCUGAGCCCAGAACGUACAAAAGAGCGCGCCCCGGUCCAGGGACCCCUCCCGCGGCACUGCCCGCGGGGCCCGAGUCUUUCGGGCCGGUGGAAACCCAGGGGCCGCGUCCGCGCUCCAGGUUCCUUGACUGGAGCGGCGGGGACCCCCCGCGCUUCGCCUCCCGCGGUGUUUUGCAGACACACGUGGCCGCAUCAGAAGACCGUGUCAGAGCUUCGAAAGGCCAAAGUGUCCAGAGACCCGCGAGCGGGCUCGACCCCGCUUGGAAGGCAUUCACGGUUCAUUUGACUUAAACUCUGUACAGUUUACAGCGAAGUGUUCCUGUUUCCCAAAAAAGAAAACACAGACCCGGACUCGCGGCUCUUCUUGCCAGUUUCUGAUGCCACUCGCUCCACAGUCCCCCAGGAAGAGCGACAUCAGAGGGGACAGGUCCCCUAUACAUGGAAACCACUUCCACUUGACACAGAACUUCACGAAGAGGAACCACGUAAAAUGUGUCUUUUUAAAUCUUAAUUGACCCCCUCCCCUCGGCAUAUCUACACGCUCCAAGAUGGUACCUCUUUGCCCACCCAACUCUUAAAACUCCCAAGACAGGGCAAAAGGCGGGAAGAGAGAGAGAAGCCGGGCUCGGCUAGGCUUUAUUCAAGCGCUCCAGUGUUGCUGUCCGUUUGCCCCGAAUGCAAUCGACGUGGGGGAGGCCGGGCCGGGGCGCCCUCAGUGGCUGGGGACGGCGCCAGGCCCACCGCGGCGGGGACGAGGCGGCAUCCGCGGGCCACAGCGCCCCCUCGCCGCCCGUGCGCACGACUUCGGGCCGCAUUGCCGCUGGGCCUUCCCGC